This 448-nucleotide long non-coding RNA is filed under the name Pan troglodytes (chimpanzee). RNAcentral's name for it is "lincRNA". Lineage: Eukaryota; Metazoa; Chordata; Mammalia; Primates; Hominidae. The record is from RNAcentral.
GGAGGAUUUGAGGCGCCUUGAAUUUUCCUUCGCGAGUAUGGAGACUAGCCGAUUUUUCAUGAAGCAACCAAAGACUGCGGUCCUGGAUCCUGCAACAUCUACCGCAUUCUCUCCAGGCCUCUCCACUUGCCCAAGCUCUCAGCCACCAGGAGACAGACGGAAGGGGCUUCUGGGGUGCGUUGGGAGCAGGCACUGUCCCCUAACCACUCCUGCUCAGUUUCCCAAAGUCCAGCGACCUCCGACCCUUCUUGGGGGAAAAAAUACCAGUACCCAGACACCUCUGCACCCUGUUAUAUGACUGGGCUUGCUUCAGGAAUAUCUUACAAAGAAGAAGAAGAAGUAGAAGGAGGAACGGCUUGGAGUCAUAUUAUUUACAUCUAGUUCUACUGAUCCGUUCACAUCUGGAGAGUUUAUUUAUAACUCCCUCUAUAACUCUCCGUUUGGAGGC